RNAcentral lists this ribosomal RNA (253 nucleotides) under uncultured bacterium. RNAcentral describes it as "partial 16S ribosomal RNA". It matches the Rfam family "Bacterial small subunit ribosomal RNA", at positions 524 to 776 of the family's 1533-position model. The record is from RNAcentral.
UACGUAGGAGGCGAGCGUUGUCCGGAUUUACUGGGCGUAAAGCGCGUGUAGGUGGUGGAGUAAGUCCAUUGUGAAAGCUCCGAGCUCAACUUGGAGAGGUCGGUGGAAACUACCUCACUUGAGGACGGUAGAGGGGGGUGGAAUUCCCGGUGUAGUGGUGAAAUGCGUAGAUAUCGGGAGGAACACCAGUGGCGAAGGCGGCCCCCUGGGCCGCUCCUGACGCUGAGACGCGAAGGCCAGGGUAGCGAACGGG